GGGAUUGUAGUUCAAAUGGUAAGAGCCCAUCCUUCUAUGGUUGAAAGCUACGGGUUCGAACCCCGUCAAUCCCU
Penstemon davidsonii is the source of this 74-nucleotide non-coding RNA. Lineage: Eukaryota; Viridiplantae; Streptophyta; Magnoliopsida; Lamiales; Plantaginaceae. The record is from the annotation of a GenBank genome assembly.